AGAGUAUGAUCCUGGCUCAGAUUGAACGCUGGCGGCAGGCCUAACACAUGCAAGUCGAGCGGUAACAGGAGAAGCUUGCUUCUCGCUGACGAGCGGCGGACGGGUGAGUAAUGCGUAGGAAUCUACCCUUUUGUGGGGGAUAGCCCGGAGAAAUCCGGAUUAAUACCGCAUAAGCUCUUCGGAGGAAAGUGGGGGAUCUUCGGACCUCACGCUGAAGGAUGAGCCUACGUUGGAUUAGCUUGUUGGUGGGGUAAAGGCCUACCAAGGCGACGAUCCAUAGCUGGUCUGAGAGGAUGAUCAGCCACACCGGGACUGAGACACGGCCCGGACUCCUACGGGAGGCAGCAGUGGGGAAUAUUGGACAAUGGGCGCAAGCCUGAUCCAGCCAUGCCGCGUGUGUGAAGAAGGCUCUAGGGUUGUAAAGCACUUUAAGCAGGGAAGAAACGCUGUUGGUUAAUAACCAUCAGUACUGACGGUACCUGCAGAAUAAGCACCGGCUAACUCCGUGCCAGCAGCCGCGGUAAUACGGAGGGUGCAAGCGUUAAUCGGAUUUACUGGGCGUAAAGCGUGCGUAGGCGGCUACGUAAGUCAGUUGUGAAA
RNAcentral lists this ribosomal RNA (600 nucleotides) under uncultured marine bacterium. Its description in RNAcentral is "bacterial SSU rRNA". It matches the Rfam family "Bacterial small subunit ribosomal RNA", at positions 8 to 599 of the family's 1533-position model. The record is from RNAcentral.